RNAcentral lists this transfer RNA (73 nucleotides) under Nyctimystes kubori (sandy big-eyed treefrog). RNAcentral's name for it is "tRNA-Asn". The record is from RNAcentral. Lineage: Eukaryota; Metazoa; Chordata; Amphibia; Anura; Pelodryadidae.
UAGAAUGAAGCUCGCUGGAUUGAGCUUUUAGCUGUUAACUAAAAUAUUGCGGGAUCAAGGCCCGUCUUUCUAG